Molecule: ribosomal RNA, 497 nt
Filed under: uncultured bacterium
Lineage: Bacteria
Description: partial 16S ribosomal RNA
Rfam family: Bacterial small subunit ribosomal RNA
Source: RNAcentral
GAUGAACGCUGGCGGCGUGCCUAAUACAUGCAAGUCGAGCGAACGGACGAGAAGCUUGCUUCUCUGAUGUUAGCGGCGGACGGGUGAGUAACACGUGGAUAACCUACCUAUAAGACUGGGAUAACUUCGGGAAACCGGAGCUAAUACCGGAUAAUAUUUUGAACCGCAUGGUUCAAAAGUGAAAGACGGUCUUGCUGUCACUUAUAGAUGGAUCCGCGCUGCAUUAGCUAGUUGGUAAGGUAACGGCUUACCGAGGCAACGAUGCAUAGCCGACCUGAGAGGGUGAUCAGCCACACUGGAACUGAGACACGGUCCAGACUCCUACGAGAGGCAGCAGUAGGGAAUCUUCCGCAAUGGGCGAAAGCCUGACGGAGCAACGCCGCGUGAGUGAUGAAGGUCUUCGGAUCGUAAAACUCUGUUAUUAGGGAAGAACAUAUGUGUAAGUAACUGUGCACAUCUUGACGGUACCUAAUCAGAAAGCCACGGCUAACUACGUG